UACGGAAGGCAGCAGUGGGGAAUAUUGCACAAUGGGCGAAAGCCUGAUGCAGCUAUGCCGCGUGUAUGAAGAAGGCCUUAGGGUUGUAAAGUACUUUCAUCGGGGAGGAAAAAACAAAACUAAUAAUUUUAUUUCUUGACGUUACCCGAAAAAGAAGCACCGGCUAACUCCGUGCCAGCAGCCGCGGUAAUACGGAGGGUGCUAGCGUUAAUCAGAAUUACUGGGCGUAAAGAGCACGUAGGUGGUUUUUUUAAGUCAGAUGUGAAAUCCCUGGGCUUAACCUAGGAACUGCAUUUUGAAACUGAAAUACUAGAGUAUCGUAGAGGGAGGUAGAAUUCUAGGUGUAGCCGGUGAAAUGCGUAGAUAUCUGGAGGAAUACCUGUGGCGAAAGCGGCCUCCUAAACGAAUACUGACACUGAGGUGCGAAAGCGUGGGGAGCAAACAGGGAUUAGAUACC
Molecule: ribosomal RNA, 457 nt
Filed under: uncultured bacterium
Lineage: Bacteria
Description: bacterial SSU rRNA
Rfam family: Bacterial small subunit ribosomal RNA
Source: RNAcentral